This 440-nucleotide ribosomal RNA is filed under the name uncultured bacterium. Its description in RNAcentral is "partial 16S ribosomal RNA". It matches the Rfam family "Bacterial small subunit ribosomal RNA", at positions 338 to 795 of the family's 1533-position model. The record is from RNAcentral.
CCUACGGGAGGCAGCAGUGGGGAAUAUUGCACAAUGGGGGAAACCCUGAUGCAGCGACGCCGCGUGAAGGAAGAAGUAUUUCGGUAUGUAAACUUCUAUCAGCAGGGAAGAAAAUGACGGUACCUGACUAAGAAGCCCCGGCUAACUACGUGCCAGCAGCCGCGGUAAUACGUAGGGGGCAAGCGUUAUCCGGAUUUACUGGGUGUAAAGGGAGCGUAGGCGGUUUAGCAAGUCAGAAGUGAAAGCCCGGGGCUCAACUCCGGGACUGCUUUUGAAACUGUUGAACUAGAGUGCAGGAGAGGUAGGUGGAAUUCCUAGUGUAGCGGUGAAAUGCGUAGAUAUUAGGAGGAACACCAGUGGCGAAGGCGGCUUACUGGACUGUAAAUGACGCUGAGGCUCGAAAGCGUGGGGAGCAAACAGGAUUAGAUACCCUUGUAGUC